This 269-nucleotide ribosomal RNA is filed under the name uncultured prokaryote. RNAcentral's name for it is "partial 16S ribosomal RNA". It matches the Rfam family "Bacterial small subunit ribosomal RNA", at positions 524 to 792 of the family's 1533-position model. The record is from RNAcentral.
UACGUAGGUGGCAAGCGUUGUCCGGAUUUAUUGGGCGUAAAGGGAGCGCAGGCGGUGACUUAAGUCUGAUGUGAAAGCCCACGGCUCAACCGUGGAAGGUCAUUGGAAACUGGGUCACUUGAAUAUAGAAGAGGAAAGUGGAAUUCCAUGUGUAGCGGUGAAAUGCGUAGAGAUUAGGAAGAACACCAGUGGCGAAGGCGAUUCUCUGGACUGUAACUGACGCUGAGGCUCGAAAGCGUGGGGAGCAAACAGGAUUAGAUACCCCCGUA